AGGUGUGCAAAUGCAAAUAUUCUGCGAAAAUUAAAUGUUUCAAUGCAGUAGGUACAUUUCAAUCUAUUGCGAGUCCCAGGGCAAGACAUAGGUAUAUAAAAUUCACACGACAAUUAACGUGUUAACAGUUUAAAAAUCUCUGAAAGCCACCUGAACAAAAUCAAAAUGGCUCUGUGGAAUGGAUUCUCACCGUGUUCAGAGUGAAAAUAUCCGAAGCUGAGUCAUCGGAAGAGCGGGCCACGCGCUGCUCUCGUUGGAGGGGAUUCGAAGAACAAGCGGACCGCCGCUACGCGGGAAUGUAUUCCGAAUGUUUCCCUCGUAAUCGUCUGUUUGUAGGUACGUCCGUGGAUCGUCUGGGGUUGGCAAAGGGUGGUGGAACGGGGCCAGGAGAAAUGGAAGGAGAGGACAGCUUCUUGCGUUGCAUGUUUGUCGUCGAAUCCGCCGCGUGAUUGACGGACGUUAGCGAGAGACGAGGGCUGCCUCUCUGUAUCGUGACAUCCUCUGAUCCGAUGUUUAUCUUGCACCGCUACGAGCUCGUUCCUGUUGUUCUCCAAAAGUAGGAGCUUGGCAUACUAAGCAAAGAAUAUUUUCUGAUAACUGUCCACUUCUAUCGAUCCAUACCAAAGCAUCAAAUCUCAUCGGCGAGUUGCGGAAGCACAAAAACGGAAAGAUCGGGUUGCCCUCUUUUUUGGCACGUGCACAUGCAACGCGAGUGUCGCGUCCUAGGAAUCUCCCACGAGAGUGCGGCCGGAUUCCUUCGCAAUCGGAUAACCGCUUGCGAUGCCUGUCCCGCGCGAUCAACGUUAUUGACGAACCCGAACGCAGGUAAUAAGAGGAUCGUCCUAUCGUGCAGACUUCGAUCAGGUUAAUCGAACGUCCAUUGUGACGUUACCGGCGGAUUCUCUUAGUUCUCGCGUUGUUUUUGUGGGAAUAUUUUCGUAGACAUUUGUAUUGUGAGAAUAGGAAAUUGAAAAUAUAUGGUCAAUCGUAAUUUUGGGUGGAAUAUUCUGUAACUUGCAGAUUUUAAAACCCAAGUUUAUAUUGAGGGACGAAAUAAAACUUGCUUACAAAUAGUAUGUCUACACUACUGUGUUUAUUAUCGCAUUUACAUAUUAAUCAAUUAGGCCUAUAUUAAAUUCUGUAUCAUGUGGUAUAGUAUGUUUGUAUGAUCACAAAAGCUUCACAGUAUGAGACACGUGGAAUUUGAUGAAAAAAGGCUUCGUUAGAAAAUAACAGUAUGUACAAACACUUUCUGCGGUCAUUGUAUAUGUAAAAGGAAAUUGAAAUUUAGUGAAAAAUUAGAGUACAAGAUUACAGUUCCCCUGUUGCUAGAAAAGACGUAUUUCCAGAAGCAGAAAAUAAAUUCCUAAUAAGAUUUCCUUAUCAGUUACGAAAUGAAAUAUUUGUAGGGAAGCAAUGGGUGUUCUCGCUGGAAGAAUCUUAUCUGGUAUAUAAAUAAAGAGAUAUUUCUCCACAGUAUGAUCUAUCAUACGUUUUACAUUACGAAAAGAGUAUUCAAAUGUUCCAGCUAACAGGUACAUCAUAUUUCAAUUUUCAUGCGACAAGAAUCCAUUGUGAUUUCUAACAUAUUACUUACAACGGAUCCAUGGCAUUUCGAGCGUGUCUCACCUUUCCUCUACGAAAGAACGACGAACGAGGCGACGUUCAAUUAACAAAGAUCGUCUGGAUGGUCGAUCAUUUAUUUUCCCUUGUUAGAAAAAUCCUUCUCCACCCGGCAAAGUUCGAAAUGUCACGGCUUGAAACGUUUCGAUCGCGACCAGCUGCGUUCAUGGAAGUAUCGUUGCGAAAAUGGAAAAAAGCAUUCGUUGCGAGAGAGAGAGAGAGAGAGAGAGAAAGAGAGGAUUGCAACACUGUCGGCAGGAAUCGAUGUCCUUUCAACGGAUGGUGGAUGUACCAUCGCUUGUAAUUUGCGCCCACGCGGUGUAAUCGAUGCGGCUCGUGCGUUUCAGUCGAACAUGCACCGCCGAUGCUAUCGAGUUCACAGUCGAAGAAAUGCGGCGAAUUAAAUUCUAGGUAGUUGUUACAUUCGAUACUUUUCUCUAUAAAUUGCCGAUUUUUCAAGCUGCAAAGUAGGUACAUCUUUUCAUUAAUUUCAAUGAGAAUAAUUACGUUUUUUCAAGGAAAUUCGGAUACUAGUAAUUUAAUUUUAUUUUAAUUAUUAGGAUUAUUAGAAUCGUUUGAAUUAUCAGGA
Molecule: long non-coding RNA, 2212 nt
Organism: Bombus terrestris (buff-tailed bumblebee)
Lineage: Eukaryota; Metazoa; Arthropoda; Insecta; Hymenoptera; Apidae
Exons: 3
Source: RefSeq, a predicted model, not a curated record